GACGAACGCUGGCGGCGUGCUUAACACAUGCAAGUCGAACGGUAAGGCCCUGCUUUUGUGGGGUGCUCGAGUGGCGAACGGGUGAGUAACACGUGAGUAACCUGCCCUUGACUUUGGGAUAACUUCAGGAAACAGGGGCUAAUACCGGAUAGGAGCUCCUGCUGCAUGGGGGGGGUUGGAAAGUUUCGGCGGUUGGGGAUGGACUCGUGGCUCAUCAGCUUGUUGGUGGGGUAGUGGCUUACCAACGCUUUGACGGGUAGCCGGCCUGGGAGGGUGACCGGACACAUUGGGCCUGAGAUAGGGCCCAGACGGCAACGGGAGGAAGCGGUGGAAAAUAGUGCACAAUGGGCGGAAGCCUGAUGCAGCAACGCCGCGUGCGGGAUGACGGCCUUCGGGUUGUAAACCGCUUUCGCCUGUGACGAAGCGUAAGUGACGGUAAUGGGUAAAGAAGCACCGGCUAACUACGUG
RNAcentral lists this ribosomal RNA (468 nucleotides) under uncultured bacterium. RNAcentral describes it as "partial 16S ribosomal RNA". It matches the Rfam family "Bacterial small subunit ribosomal RNA", at positions 28 to 507 of the family's 1533-position model. The record is from RNAcentral.